Molecule: ribosomal RNA, 484 nt
Filed under: Papilio bianor gladiator
Lineage: Eukaryota; Metazoa; Arthropoda; Insecta; Lepidoptera; Papilionidae
Description: partial 16S ribosomal RNA
Source: RNAcentral
AAACAUGUCUUUUUGAAAAUAAUUUAAAGUUUAAUCUGCCCACUGAUNAAAUUAUUAAAGGGCUGCAGUAUUUUGACUGUACAAAGGUAGCAUAAUCAUUAGUCUCUUAAUUGGUGACUUGUAUGAAAGAUUGGAUGAAAUAUAUACUGUCUCUAUUUAAUUUAUAAAAUUUAAUUUUUUAGUAAAAAAGCUAAAAUGAAUUUAAAAGACGAGAAGACCCUAUAGAGUUUGAUAAUUUAUUUAAUUAUUAUUAAUAUAUAAAUUUUAAAAUUAAAAUUAAAUAAAUUAUUUUGUUGGGGUGAUAGAAAAAUUAAAUUAACUUUUUUUUUAUUUUAUACAUUAAUUUAUGAAUGAAUGAUCCAUUAAUAAUGAUUAAAAGAAAAAAUUACCUUAGGGAUAACAGCGUAAUUUUUUUUUUUAGUUCAAAUAGGAAAAAAAGUUUGCGACCUCGAUGUUGGAUUAAGAUAAAAUUUAAAUGCAAAAG